Molecule: ribosomal RNA, 253 nt
Filed under: uncultured bacterium
Lineage: Bacteria
Description: partial 16S ribosomal RNA
Rfam family: Bacterial small subunit ribosomal RNA
Source: RNAcentral
UACAUGUGGGGCAAGCGUUGUUCGGAAUUACUGGGCAUAAAGGGUGCGUAGGCGGCUUGUUAAGUCAGGGGUGAAAGUUUUCGGCCCAACCGGAAAAUUGCCUUUGAUACUGGCGAGCUGGAGUGCGUGAGGGGUGACCGGAACGAGUGGUGUAGCGGUGAAAUGCGUAGAUAUUGGGAAGAACACCUGAGGCGAAGGCGGGUUGCUGGGCUGAUACUGACGCUGAGGCGCGAAAGCCAGGGGAGCAAACGGG